UACAGAGGGGGCGAGCGUUGUUCGGAAUUACUGGGCGUAAAGGGCGCGUAGGCGGCCUUCUAAGUCGAACGUGAAAUCCCCGGGCUCAACCCGGGAACUGCGCCCGAUACUGGGAGGCUUGAAUCCGGGAGAGGGAUGUGGAAUUCCAGGUGUAGCGGUGAAAUGCGUAGAUAUCUGGAGGAACACCGGUGGCGAAGGCGGCAUCCUGGACCGGUAUUGACGCUGAGGCGCGAAAGCCAGGGGAGUAAACGGG
This 253-nucleotide ribosomal RNA is filed under the name uncultured bacterium. RNAcentral's name for it is "partial 16S ribosomal RNA". It matches the Rfam family "Bacterial small subunit ribosomal RNA", at positions 524 to 776 of the family's 1533-position model. The record is from RNAcentral.